This 253-nucleotide ribosomal RNA is filed under the name uncultured bacterium. Its description in RNAcentral is "partial 16S ribosomal RNA". It matches the Rfam family "Bacterial small subunit ribosomal RNA", at positions 524 to 776 of the family's 1533-position model. The record is from RNAcentral.
UACGUAGGGGGCAAGCGUUGUCCGGAUUUAUUGGGCGUAAAGCGCGCGCAGGCGGUCCUUUAGGUCUGAUGUGAAAUCUGGCGGCUCAACCGCAAGCGGUCAUUGGAAACUGGGGGACUUGAGUACAGAAGAGGAAAGCGGAAUUCCACGUGUAGCGGUGAAAUGCGUAGAGAUGUGGAUGAACACCAGUGGCGAAGGCGGCUUUCUGGUCUGUAACUGACGCUGAGGCGCGAAAGCGUGGGGAGCAAACAGG